This is a long non-coding RNA of Panicum hallii, 669 nucleotides long. RefSeq lists it as uncharacterized. The transcript is spliced from 3 exons. Lineage: Eukaryota; Viridiplantae; Streptophyta; Magnoliopsida; Poales; Poaceae. The record is from RefSeq and is a predicted model, not a curated record.
AACACCCUCCCUGGAUCCUGCUGUUCCAGCGGCGGCCGCCACGGUCGAAAUUUCCCCGGGAGCCACGGAGGAGGGUCUGGCCGGGAGGUGGAUAAUCUCCGGCAAGGCGACCACCUUUGCAAGUUGCGACUCACAUCAAAUCGCUGCAGCGUCCAUCAUGGCAUCCCCACACUCGUGCACGGUCCAUCCUUCCAAGGCGUGAAGUAUUCCAGCGAUGCGCCAAGCACUCAUCACCUUUCUUGGCAGCCAAUUCUGUCAUAUGAAGCAAACAGAGCAUACUCAGAAGAAAUUCAGCAUGGAUAUUCUGCAUGGUUUCUGGGAUUUUCAUUGCUGGGGUGCUCAAGUAAGUGCAAUCCUUGCGAACUUUUUUGAUGGGGAACUGUGAGAUAGGAACGAAUAUAGUUCCUUGUGGUGCCAUCUUCUGUUCUUUGUCAUCAAUGUUGUCCACUAGCCAAAUCUGCGGCAGUUUAAGCAAUCACCAUCAGUGUAAUUGAUUUCCAUGACAAAAGUAUUUUCUCUGUUUAGUCCUAGAAAAAUCAACUAAGGUAAUGUGCUCCUGUCCUACUUGAUAGGUUCCAACCAGCAGUUAUUUCUACUAUGACUAUCUGUAAUUCCGUAUUCACAUUUCAUGCCAAAGGCUAAGUUAAAUACUUUCAUUUUUUUGACUUA